UACGUAGGGUCCGAGCGUUGUCCGGAAUUAUUGGGCGUAAAGGGCUCGUAGGCGGUUUGUCGCGUCGGGAGUGAAAACACGGGGCUUAACCCCGUGCCUGCUUCCGAUACGGGCAGACUAGAGGUAUGCAGGGGAGAACGGAAUUCCUGGUGUAGCGGUGAAAUGCGCAGAUAUCAGGAGGAAUACCGGUGGCGAAGGCGGCAUCCUGGACCGACAUUGACGCUGAGGAGCGAAAGCUAGGGGAGCAAACGGG
This 253-nucleotide ribosomal RNA is filed under the name uncultured bacterium. RNAcentral describes it as "partial 16S ribosomal RNA". It matches the Rfam family "Bacterial small subunit ribosomal RNA", at positions 524 to 776 of the family's 1533-position model. The record is from RNAcentral.